AAAGCGCGAAAUGUAAUGUGAAUUGCAGAAUUCAGUGAAUCAUCGAAUCUUUGAACGCACCUUGCGCUCUCGGGUUAUUCCUGGGAGCAUGUUCGUUUGAGUGUCGCGUACCUCUCAACCCCCCGUUGGCAACAGCGGUGUCCGGGUUGGAUCGUGGCGGUCUGUUCCAAUGCGCGAACUCCGCUGAAAUGCAAGAAGCUGUACCUUUGUACUGGCGGCUUGACCCGUUGUCAUAAGAACUUUCAAUGGGGAUCGCCUGGUCGGGACGAGCUUACCACAAACGCCUCUCGGGGCAUUUCUACCUUUGACCUCAAAUCGAGCAGGACUACCCCCUGAACUUAA
This 342-nucleotide unclassified non-coding RNA is filed under the name uncultured Chionosphaeraceae. Its description in RNAcentral is "sequence contains ITS1". The stretch from base 1 to 106 matches the Rfam family "5.8S ribosomal RNA", at positions 50 to 154 of the family's 154-position model. Lineage: Eukaryota; Fungi; Basidiomycota; Agaricostilbomycetes; Agaricostilbales; Chionosphaeraceae. The record is from RNAcentral.